UACGAAGGGGGCUAGCGUUGCUCGGAAUUACUGGGCGUAAAGCGCACGUAGGCGGAUUGUUAAGUCGGGGGUGAAAUCCUGGAGCUCAACUCCAGAACUGCCUUUGAUACUGAAGAUCUCGAGUCCGGAAGAGGUGAGUGGGACUCCGAGUGUAGAGGUGAAAUUCGUAGAUAUUCGGAAGAACACCAGUGGCGAAGGCGGCUCACUGGUCCGGUACUGACGCUGAGGUGCGAAAGCGUGGGGAGCAAACAGG
RNAcentral lists this ribosomal RNA (253 nucleotides) under uncultured bacterium. RNAcentral describes it as "partial 16S ribosomal RNA". It matches the Rfam family "Bacterial small subunit ribosomal RNA", at positions 524 to 776 of the family's 1533-position model. The record is from RNAcentral.